Molecule: ribosomal RNA, 253 nt
Filed under: uncultured bacterium
Lineage: Bacteria
Description: partial 16S ribosomal RNA
Rfam family: Bacterial small subunit ribosomal RNA
Source: RNAcentral
UACAGAGGUCCCAAGCGUUGUUCGGAUUCACUGGGCGUAAAGGGUGCGUAGGCGGUUUGAUAAGUCUGAUGUGAAAUCCCGCAGCUUAACUGCGGAACUGCAUUGGAAACUGUUUGACUAGAGGAAUGGAGGGGAGACUGGAAUACUUGGUGUAGCAGUGAAAUGCGUAGAUAUCAAGUGGAACACCAGUGGCGAAGGCGAGUCUCUGGACAUUUCCUGACGCUGAGGCACGAAAGCCAGGGGAGUAAACGGG